Molecule: unclassified non-coding RNA, 402 nt
Filed under: soil metagenome
Description: partial contains 5.8S ribosomal RNA, internal transcribed spacer 2, and large subunit ribosomal RNA
Rfam family: 5.8S ribosomal RNA (bases 1-121)
Source: RNAcentral
GAUGAAGAACUCAGCGAAAUGCGAUAAGUAAUGUGAAUUGCAGAAUUCAGUGAAUCAUCGAAUCUUUGAACGCACCUUGCGCCCUUUGGCUAUUCUGAAGGGCAUGCCUGUUUGAGUAUCAUGAACACCUCAACUCUCAUGGUUCGCCAUGAUGAGCUUGGACUUUGGGGGUCUUGCUGGCCUACGGUCGGCUCCUCUCAAAUGAAUCAGCUUGCCAGUGUUUGGUAGAGUCGCAGGUGUGAUAACUAUCUACGCUUGUGGUUUUCUGCCAGAUAACCUUCAGUGAUGGAGGUUCGCUGGAGCUUAUAAAUGUCUCUCCCCAGUGAGGACAGCUUUUUGAACGUUUGAUCUCAAAUCAGGUAGGACUACCCGCUGAACUUAAGCAUAUCAAUAAGCGGAGGA